UGUCUUCGAGUCGUUGAUUUCACACUGCCGAGAAAAGCCUCUAGAUAGAAAAUAGGUGCCCGUACCGCAAACCGACACAGGUAGUCAAGAUGAGAAUUCUAAGGUGAGCGAGCGAACUCUCGUUAAGGAACUCGGCAAAAUGACCCCGUAACUUCGGGAGAAGGGGUGCUCUUUAGGGUUAACGCCCAGAAGAGCCGCAGUGAAUAGGCCCAAGCGACUGUUUAUCAAAAACACAGGUCUCUGCUAAACCGUAAGGUGAUGUAUAGGGGCUGACGCCUGCCCGGUGCUGGAAGGUUAAGAGGAGUGGUUAGCUUCUGCGAAGCUACGAAUCGAAGCCCCAGUAAACGGCGGCCGUAACUAUAACGGUCCUAAGGUAGCGAAAUUCCUUGUCGGGUAAGUUCCGACCCGCACGAAAGGCGUAACGAUUUGGGCACUGUCUCAACGAGAGACUCGGUGAAAUCAUAGUACCUGUGAAGAUGCAGGUUACCCGCGACAGGACGGAAAGACCCCGUGGAGCUUUACUGUAGCCUGAUAUUGAAAUUCGGCACAGCUUGUACAGGAUAGGUAGGAGCCUUUGAAACGUGAGCGCUAGCUUACGUGGAGGCGCUGGUGGGAUACUACCCUAGCUGUGUUGGCUUUCUAACCCGCACCACUUAUCGUGGUGGGAGACAGUGUCAGGCGGGCAGUUUGACUGGGGCGGUCGCCUCCUAAAAGGUAACGGAGGCGCUCAAAGGUUCCCUCAGAAUGGUUGGAAAUCAUUCAUAGAGUGUAAAGGCAUAAGGGAGCUUGACUGCGAGACCUACAAGUCGAGCAGGGUCGAAAGACGGACUUAGUGAUCCGGUGGUUCCGCAUGGAAGGGCCAUCGCUCAACGGAUAAAAGCUACCCCGGGGAUAACAGGCUUAUCUCCCCCAAGAGUUCACAUCGACGGGGAGGUUUGGCACCUCGAUGUCGGCUCAUCGCAUCCUGGGGCUGUAGUCGGUCCCAAGGGUUGGGCUGUUCGCCCAUUAAAGCGGUACGCGAGCUGGGUUCAGAACGUCGUGAGACAGUUCGGUCCCUAUCCGUCGUGGGCGUAGGAAAUUUGAGAGGAGCUGUCCUUAGUACGAGAGGACCGGGAUGGACAUACCUCUGGUGUACCAGUUGUCGUGCCAACGGCAUAGCUGGGUAGCUAUGUGUGGACGGGAUAAGUGCUGAAAGCAUCUAAGCAUGAAGCCCCCCUCAAGAUGAGAUUUCCCAACUUCGGUUAUAAGAUCCCUCAAAGAUGAUGAGGUUAAUAGGUUCGAGGUGGAAGCAUGGUGACAUGUGGAGCUGACGAAUACUAAUCGAUCGAAGACUUAAUCAA
This 1340-nucleotide ribosomal RNA is filed under the name Staphylococcus aureus. Its description in RNAcentral is "partial 23S ribosomal RNA". It matches the Rfam family "Bacterial large subunit ribosomal RNA", at positions 1581 to 2925 of the family's 2925-position model. Lineage: Bacteria; Bacillati; Bacillota; Bacilli; Caryophanales; Staphylococcaceae. The record is from RNAcentral.